GGGUUUUUUAUUCCAUGAAAAAAAAUCAUGAAUAGUUUUUAAUACACACUAAUUCAAUAUAUACUUUUAUCGAUCGACACCGCUCAACUUAAAUUCUAACUACACCAUUGACAAGAGGUAUCUACCCGAUGAAAGAAAAAGCAAGGACAGAGACUGUAUACUCAUUAUUUUAGUACGAUCCCAAGAUAUUAAUCAAACUGCUUAGUCCUAUCAUGAUGAACUGGAUUACAUGAUGGAGAGUCACAGGACCUUCAUAUGAGCCUCAAUUCAUUCAGAACUCUCCUCAGCCAAAUUCACUCGCAGAUUCAAAGGGAUAUUGCUCAAUAUUCUGGUUAUCUGCUACUGCGAGAAACAACAGUUGCUUUUUACUUCUCCAAGUCGCCAGAUUUCUCCAUACAUACGUGCAGUAGACAGACAUUGAUUUCCAUUCUGUUAAUUAUGCCGCACACAUUAAUCCUUAUAUUAUCGUGUUUCUUGAAAUGCUCUUGGACAACCAGUGGUUUUACCCUCAUUGUUCGAAAAGCAGUCGAAUUUACCUGCGUGGAAAAAUUUAUCAGGGCAAUUAAACAAGCAAAAGCAAAGUUAUCAGAAACAGUGAUGUGAAGAGAAAUUCAAACCUUCGUAGAUGUGCCUUUCCAGCUUCCCUGAACUAUUGUUUCUUACUAUAUCAUGAACCUAACCCCAAAGAAAAAAGAUGAAGAAGAUUUAGUUUAAAGCAAGCAAACCGCAGAAAAAACUUAACGAAUGAUCCAAAGUUACUGUUAUCAACAAAAAUACCUCACCCUUCAUAGACAACGAGGUUACGCCCAUUCCAGUAAUGGGGCAAUGAUUUAUAAGGUCCACCGGCUCUCUUCUUGGCGGACUGGUACAAGCAUACCACCUAUAUUUCGAUCACAGCACCAGCAAAUUUCAUCAGAACCAAACGCACUUCAUCAAUAAAAUGGUAAUAUAGGCCAUUGAAAAUUGUUUUUAUCUUGCCUUACUGAAUUUUAGACACCUUUUACAAAUUUCUGUGCUUCCACCAAGAAUGCCUCUAUGACCCUGUAGAAAAUAUUAAAUAUCUCAAAUGAAGAUACCAAACGAUUCUACCAACAAAGUAUAACUAUCUCAAAUGUCUGUUGAACCUGAACCAUAAUUUACAUGAUAAGGAAACUGAGACUUGUGACCUUUCAGUUACCGCACUUUCAGUUAAAACACCGCCCUAUGUACAGUUCACUGUCCUCCUGGUCCUUGAAGCCUCUUUCAUUCAGUAGGUCUUGAGGCUGGACUCUGUCAACGAGAAAGAAUUUGAGUAACAGUCUCUCACAGACCAUGUGCAUGAAUAGACAAAAAAACUCAGACGUGUGCAUGAAUAGACCAAAAAAGUU
This 1367-nucleotide long non-coding RNA is filed under the name Linum usitatissimum (flax). RNAcentral describes it as "long non-coding RNA (LUSI_LNC007660)". Lineage: Eukaryota; Viridiplantae; Streptophyta; Magnoliopsida; Malpighiales; Linaceae. The record is from RNAcentral.